UACGGAGGGAGCUAGCGUUGUUCGGAAUUACUGGGCGUAAAGCGCACGUAGGCGGCUUUUUAAGUCAGAGGUGAAAGCCCAGAGCUCAACUCUGGAACUGCCUUUGAAACUGGUGAUCUUGAGUACGGGAGAGGUGAGUGGAAUUCCCAGUGUAGAGGUGAAAUUCGUAGAUAUUGGGAAGAACACCGGUGGCGAAGGCGGCUCACUGGCCCGUAACUGACGCUCAGGCGCGAUAGCGUGGGGAUCAAACAGG
RNAcentral lists this ribosomal RNA (253 nucleotides) under uncultured bacterium. Its description in RNAcentral is "partial 16S ribosomal RNA". It matches the Rfam family "Bacterial small subunit ribosomal RNA", at positions 524 to 776 of the family's 1533-position model. The record is from RNAcentral.